This 423-nucleotide ribosomal RNA is filed under the name uncultured bacterium. RNAcentral describes it as "bacterial SSU rRNA". It matches the Rfam family "Bacterial small subunit ribosomal RNA", at positions 355 to 774 of the family's 1533-position model. The record is from RNAcentral.
CAACGAAUAUUCCGCAAUGGGCGAAAGCCUGACGGAGCGACGCCGCGUGGAGGAUGAAGUCCCUCGGGAUGUAAACUUCAAUAGUACGUCAGGAAGUGCGACGGCUUAAUAGGCCGUCAAGUUGACCAGUGUACGAAAGGGGUGGCUAACUCCGUGCCAGCAGCCGCGGUAAUACGGAGACCCCUAGCGUUGUUCGGAAUUACUGGGCUUAAAGCGGGGGUAGGCGGGACGGUAAGUACUUUGUGAAAGCCCCGGGCUCAACUCGGGAAUUGCUUGGUAUACUGUCGUCCUUGAGGCAGGCAGGGGUCACUGGAACCUUAGGUGGAGCGGUGAAAUGCGUAGAUAUCUAAGGGAACGCCUGUGGCGAAAGCGGGUGACUGGGCCUGUACUGACGCUGAGACCCGAAAGCGUAGGUAGCGAACG